UGGGGAAUCUUGGACAAUGGGGGCAACCCUGAUCCAGCCAUGCCGCGUGAGUGAUGAAGGCCUUAGGGUCGUAAAGCUCUUUCGCCUGUGAAGAUAAUGACGGUAGCAGGUAAAGAAACCCCGGCUAACUCCGUGCCAGCAGCCGCGGUAAUACGGAGGGGGUUAGCGUUGUUCGGAAUUACUGGGCGUAAAGCGCACGUAGGCGGACCAGAAAGUUGGGGGUGAAAUCCCGGGGCUCAACCCCGGAACUGCCUCCAAAACUAUUGGUCUAGAGUUCGAGAGAGGUGAGUGGAAUUCCAAGUGUAGAGGUGAAAUUCGUAGAUAUUUGGAGGAACACCAGUGGCGAAGGCGGCUCACUGGCUCGAUACUGACGCUGAGGUGCGAAAGUGUGGGGAGCAAACAGGAUUAGAUACCCUGGGUAGUCCACACCGUAAAACGAUGAAUGCCAGUCGUCGGGUAGCAUGCUAUUCGGUGACACACCUAACGGAUUAAGC
Molecule: ribosomal RNA, 494 nt
Filed under: uncultured bacterium
Lineage: Bacteria
Description: bacterial SSU rRNA
Rfam family: Bacterial small subunit ribosomal RNA
Source: RNAcentral